GACUUAAUACUUUAAAUUAAAAGAUCUGAUUUGCAUUCAGAAAAUAGAUUUUAUUAAUCUUUAGGUCA
RNAcentral lists this transfer RNA (68 nucleotides) under Terebellum terebellum. Its description in RNAcentral is "tRNA-Ala". Lineage: Eukaryota; Metazoa; Mollusca; Gastropoda; Littorinimorpha; Seraphsidae. The record is from RNAcentral.